Marasmius tenuissimus is the source of this 95-nucleotide non-coding RNA. The record is from the annotation of a GenBank genome assembly. NCBI's taxonomy places the organism in Eukaryota, Fungi, Basidiomycota, Agaricomycetes, Agaricales, Marasmiaceae.
GGUUCGAUGGCGUAGUUGGUUAUCGCAUCUGUCUAACAUCCGGAAGAUUUCACUUGUUACACAGAAGGUCCCCAGUUCGAGCCUGGGUCGAAUCA